GGGUUGUGAGGUUAAGCGACUAAGCGUACACGGUGGAUGCCCUGGCAGUCAGAGGCGAUGAAGGACGUGCUAAUCUGCGAUAAGCGCCGGUAAGGUGAUAUGAACCGUUAUAACCGGCGAUUUCCGAAUGGGGAAACCCAGUGUGACUCGUCACACUAUCAUUAACUGAAUCCAUAGGUUAAUGAGGCGAACCGGGGGAACUGAAACAUCUAAGUACCCCGAGGAAAAGAAAUCAACCGAGAUUCCCCCAGUAGCGGCGAGCGAACGGGGAGGAGCCCAGAGCCUGAAUCAGCAUGUGUGUUAGUGGAAGCGUCUGGAAAGGCGCGCGAUACAGGGUGACAGCCCCGUACACAAAAGCGCAUGUGCUGUGAGCUCGAUGAGUAGGGCGGGACACGUGGUAUCCUGUCUGAAUAUGGGGGGACCAUCCUCCAAGGCUAAAUACUCCUGACUGACCGAUAGUGAACCAGUACCGUGAGGGAAAGGCGAAAAGAACCCCGGCGAGGGGAGUGAAAAAGAACCUGAAACCGUGUACGUACAAGCAGUGGGAGCACCCUUUGGGGUGUGACUGCGUACCUUUUGUAUAAUGGGUCAGCGACUUAUAUUCUGUAGCAAGGUUAACCGUAUAGGGGAGCCGCAGG
This 638-nucleotide ribosomal RNA is filed under the name Salmonella enterica subsp. enterica serovar Poona. Its description in RNAcentral is "partial 23S ribosomal RNA". It matches the Rfam family "Bacterial large subunit ribosomal RNA", at positions 1 to 672 of the family's 2925-position model. The record is from RNAcentral. Lineage: Bacteria; Pseudomonadati; Pseudomonadota; Gammaproteobacteria; Enterobacterales; Enterobacteriaceae.